CAUGUCUAAGUAUAAGCAAUUAUACAGCGAAACUGCGAAUGGCUCAUUAUAUAAGUUAUCGUUUAUUUGAUAGUACCUUACUACUUGGAUAACCGUGGUAAUUCUAGAGCUAAUACAUGCUAAAAAUCCCGACUUCGGAAGGGAUGUAUUUAUUAGAUUAAAAACCAAUGCCCUCUGGGCUCCUUGGUGAUUCAUAAUAACUUUUCGAAUCGCACGGCCUUGCGCCGGCGAUGGUUCAUUCAAAUUUCUUCCCUAUCAACUUUCGAUGUUUGGGUCUUGGCCAAACAUGGUCGCAACGGGUAACGGAGGGUUAGGGCUCGACCCCGGAGAAGGAGCCUGAGAAACGGCUACUACAUCCAAGGAAGGCAGCAGGCGCGCAAAUUACCCAAUCCCGAUUCGGGGAGGUAGUGACAAUAAAUACUGAUACAGGGCUCUUUUGGGUCUUGUAAUUGGAAUGAGUACAAUUUAAAUCUCUUAACGAGGAACAAUUGGAGGGCAAGUCUGGUGCCAGCAGCCGCGGUAAUUCCAGCUCCAAUAGCGUAUAUUAAAGUUGUUGUGGUUAAAAAGCUCGUAGUUGAACCUUGGGCCUGGCUGGCCGGUCCGCCUCACCGCGUGCACUGGUCCGGCCGGGCCUUUCCCUCUGUGGAACCCCAUGCUCUUCACUGAGUGUGGCGGUGAAACAGGACUUUUACUUUGAAAAAAUUAGAGUGCUCCAGGCAGGCCUAUGCUCGAAUACAUUAGCAUGGAAUAAUAAAAUAGGACGCGUGGUUCUAUUUUGUUGGUUUCUAGGACCGCCGUAAUGAUUAAUAGGGACAGUCGGGGGCAUCAGUAUUCAAUUGUCAGAGGUGAAAUUCUUGGAUUUAUUGAAGACUAACUACUGCGAAAGCAUUUGCCAAGGAUGUUUUCAUUAAUCAGGAACGAAAGUUAGGGGAUCGAAGACGAUCAGAUACCGUCGUAGUCUUAACCAUAAACUAUGCCGACUAGGGAUCGGACGAUGUUAUUUUUUGACGCGUUCGGCACCUUACGAGAAAUCAAAGUGCUUGGGCUCCAGGGGGAG
RNAcentral lists this ribosomal RNA (1057 nucleotides) under Cordyceps militaris. RNAcentral describes it as "SSU rRNA". It matches the Rfam family "Eukaryotic small subunit ribosomal RNA", at positions 54 to 1123 of the family's 1831-position model. Lineage: Eukaryota; Fungi; Ascomycota; Sordariomycetes; Hypocreales; Cordycipitaceae. The record is from RNAcentral.